GUUGGAGUUAAUAUUCGACAUGUUGACGACAGACGGACAACAGUAUUCCAUAAUACGUCCUGUAAACGAGCGUAUAAAAAUAUAUUGAGUAGUAAACACAUUCUUGAUACAUAAUUUUAAAAACAUGUUCAUAGAAAAUGGAAUUCAUUACAAAGGAUUAUACCCGUAACAAGAAUUACUGGAUUUGUGAAGGUCCCGACUUAUUUUAAU
RNAcentral lists this long non-coding RNA (210 nucleotides) under Mytilus galloprovincialis (Mediterranean mussel). The record is from RNAcentral. Lineage: Eukaryota; Metazoa; Mollusca; Bivalvia; Mytilida; Mytilidae.